UGUGGUUACAAGAACGCUGACACAACAUCCUCUGGGCAAAGUUUGUUGUGCCAUGUUCACUCUCCCCAAAGCUCCCUCUGGCUUCCGACUCACUCCCUCUGCUUAGUUCCUCCUCUUGGAGCACUAGAUGUGUCUGCAUCCACCAUCAAGCUACCCUUUGGCUUGUAUGUGUCUGCUGGUCCUCAACUGAGGUCCCACCUUUGUUCCUGGAAUUCAUCACAGGGCCUGCGACUGACCUUUAGACACCAAGUCUGCAGAAAACCUGUGACUAUCCAGGUGUUUCAGACGGAGCAGCAAGCUUUCAUUCUCAGCUCCAGCUUGCUCCUGGGAUCGUCUUACCUAGAGGAUGGCCCUCUGGAUUGGAGACUAGUAAAACGGCUCAAACCUAAUGUCCUUGACUGAUGGGAAACUCACAUGUCCUUGCCAGCUGAUAAAGGCUACACUGCUGUGGCUUCUUCUUACACGUCUACUGAUGUGGACUAAUUCAGCAAGCUCCUCAUCUGCUCAAUCUUCAGGAACUCAGACAGGAAUCUGCACGAAUCUGCAGGACUUGGGCCAGAAGAAAAAUCUAAGUGACCCACAUUGUGUUGCACGGAGAAUCACCCAUCUCCUGUGUCUAAGGCCUUGUCCUGGACAAGAAUGGGCUGAAUUUACCCUCUUUCAUCAGUGAUGGACUCUCCUCUGUGGAGCUCUUCAUACACAUAAAAUGCACGCUGCCCUGCUCCACAGCUCACCAACGCAAGCCUUUUUCCCAGCUGUGGACACAACUGAAGCUUAAAGUCGAGGCUCCAACGAAUCUAGUAUUCCCACAGGAAUCCACAGCAAAUGGGGAUGGAAGCACUUGCGUGGUUACUGGUAAGCCUGGAUCUGAAUGUGAGCUUGAACUCAAGACCAAAGUGGGGUUUCCGCACUAAUUUGGACAUACGAAUCUAGUCAGAGAUAUGACAACUGGGAACCUAACCCUUCUUCCGCAUUAUACAUUCUUCUACAUUCUUCCACAUUAUAAGGACAUAAAAAAGAACCCCUUUCACGUGAUGGUAGACAGCUCUGGGGGAAAAAAUAUGUAUUUUUAUAUAAAUGCACAUUUGUAAAUGUUAUUUUAUAUCCUGACAUAUUCAACGCUUAUAGUUAAUCGCUCUUGUUCAUAGUUAGCUGACUAAAUAUGUGGCCUGUUGAUGACACUCAACAGCAGAGAGGCGCUAGACAGAAGUGAGAAGAAGCUAUGCGGGGCUCAAAAUUACCAUCUUAGCACGUAAACACUGAAGUGUUUGUGGAAGUGGUCUAACUACUUGAAUUCUCAUCACUCUUGUGUUUUGUCCAGUGUGCCUUACUCCACUGCCUUCCUUCCUGUGAGAUAAUAGCGAGUAGACACAUUCACGCACUGCAUAAUGAUGUUUGGUCAAUGACAGACAGCAUAUAUGAAGGUGGUCCUGUAAGAUGGCCUGUAAUAUGGCCUAUGUGUGUAGUAGGCUAUACCAUCUAGGUUUGUGUAAGUGCACUCUAUCACGUUCGCACAAUGACAAAAUCACCUGACGACAAAUUUCUCAGAAUGUAUCCCCAUUGUUAAGCUAUGCAUGACUCAUAUGUUGGUCUUUGAUCCCAUCUCUCAUAUGGGGCUUCAAAAACUCUUGUAAAUUCCCAAGUGAUAAGAAUGGUAGGAGCAUCUUAUGUUCUAAUGAAG
Molecule: long non-coding RNA, 1681 nt
Organism: Equus caballus (horse)
Lineage: Eukaryota; Metazoa; Chordata; Mammalia; Perissodactyla; Equidae
Source: RefSeq, a predicted model, not a curated record